Molecule: long non-coding RNA, 3763 nt
Organism: Pteropus alecto (black flying fox)
Lineage: Eukaryota; Metazoa; Chordata; Mammalia; Chiroptera; Pteropodidae
Exons: 2
Source: RefSeq, a predicted model, not a curated record
UGAAAGUUCUAAACCUCUAAUCAUGGCUAGCUUCUCUAGCCACAUCAUUAGCACACCAAAGACACCUUAUUACUCAGGAGAUUCCAAGGAUUUUAGGAGCAGUGUGUCAGAAACGGGGAACGCGGAUCAAAUAUUUUUUAUUCUACCACAGAGGAAAGUGUCCUGCUAUCAGAAUAUAGGCCAGAGCCUCACUGGUGGCCAGGAAGACUUACAGCUGUAUCUUCCACAUGGGGCAGAGCCUCAGAAAUCCCUCUAGUCACGAGUCCAGACCAGCUCCACAGAAACGGACAGAGUUCUGGAGAUCAGAAGUCUGAAACAGUUCUUACAAGCUAAAAUCAAGGUGUCAGCACAGCUGCCUUUCUACUGGAGGCUCCAAGGGAGAAUUCAUUUCCUUGUCUAGUCCAGCUCCAAGAGGCCACCUGCAUCCUUGGCUCAAAGCCCCAUUUUCAGUCUUCAAAGGAUAUGAACCUCUGCUUCCGUCCUCACAUCUCCUACUUCUGAUUCUGACCCUCCUGCCUCCCUCCUGUAAGGCCCUUGUGAUUACAUUGGGCCCACCUAUAAUCUAGGGUAAUCUUCACCUCUCGGGAUUCCUAACUUAGUCACAUGUUCAAAGUCCCUUUUGUAGUGUAUAGUACAUAUUCCAGGUUGUAGGGAUUAGGACAUGAACAUCUUUUGGGGGGCUUUAUUUUGCCAACCACGGAGCUCUUGUAGCAUAGCCACCCUCCUUUUUUAGAUGAGGACAUUUAAGCACAAGGAGGUAAAUGACUUGCCCAGGGUCACGAGUUUAGAUUAAAACCCAAGAUGUCUGAUUCCCAUUGUACUGCCUAGGCAAGUGUUCUUUCUGCUACCUUAAGUUGCCACAGAAAUGAACAAUACAAAUCAUUGUAAGAGUAAGUGCAACUUACAUUAUAGGUUUAUAAAUACACAGAAUUACAGGAUCAGAGAGUUAUUGCUCAGAGGAUCUUAGAGGUCUUCACGUCUAACCAGUCUGAUCCUGGCUCCAUCAUAUAUUUCAUAUCUCCAGUUAGAAAGAACCCCUCACCUGCCGAAGCAACCCACAGCCCAUUUCUGAGAGUGCUAAUAGCAAAGUGUUCUUUGAAUAACUAGAUUACCCAGCUUCAGAGUUUGGACUAUCCAUACUGUGUGUACUCCAGCCUCCCUGAAGCACAUGACCCACAUGACACUGGAAACUCCACAAGCCCAGAAAGACCAGAAAUCCAGUCCCCUUCACCAGGAACUCCAUCCUCUGAUCCAGGUAACAGCACCACUGGGACUUACUCCCACCUCGAAGGCUUAUCCUUGGGUUCCAUCUCCCUGCUGGAACCAGAACCCAGAGAGCACCUGUGGCAAAUACGUCAGACAUGUGCCCACACACAUGCUCUCCUUCCUUAUUAGUAGGAUUUAACAGACACAGGACUGGACUGCAUUUCUCAGUCUCCCUUGCAGUUAGGUGGAUAUAAGACUAGUUUUCUCCAAUGGAAUAUGAAUAGAAAUAAUGCGUACCACUUCGGUGCCAGGUUUUAUAAAGUAAAUGCUUCUCUUUUCUCCUUCUUCUACCUGAAUAUAAAUGUUCCCAAGGGUCUAGAUGCAACACACUUUGAUUUCUGAAUCACUGCAUGAAAGAGAAACACCCACUGACUAGGUGUGGUCACUUUAGACUGCUGUGUGAGCAAGAAAUAAACUUCUAUAGCAUUUGAGCUUUAUGUAGUUUAGAGUCUAAUUUGUUACAGCAGCUUAGCUUAUCAUAACGAAGAUAGUAUGUCUUAAGGCAGGAGUAUCAAUUACCUGUCAGGGCCACUGGUCAUAACCACAUUCUGAUUAUUCCUGCCAGCAAGGAAACUAUUUUCUAGUUAUAAAAGCCUUGGGAGGUGGAAUGGGAGACACCAAGUGGCCCCAUAAUCUCCAUCCAUAUCCCUUGCUUUGAUAGAGACUAUAGACAUUUUCUUAAUAUCACAUAAGGCUCUGCACUAUCUCACACACAAUCCACCUUCCAACAAGAUGGCUGCCCCAAGCCCCUUCCAAGUGGAAAUUCUGAACCCAGCACUGGUCCAAACUGACUCUCAGGAAGUCUGGAGGAAUUCUACUCAUCAUCACUGCCACCUGCAUUGUGUCAUCAGUUCUGGUCACUUCUGAGCCAUGUGUUGGUCAUUGCCUCCACACUGGCAUAGAUCUCAGCUCAGUCUUCAGAGCGUCUGUAGGCCAGGAGUGCCAAGGUGCAUCCCACCAAAGUGAUGCUGCAGCUCUUCGCCACCCAUCUAGGUAUGAGCCUGACAGCGGAAUGACCAGUACAGGACGGGUCCAACCAGCACCACUCAUGAGCUCAGAAGCACUGCUCCCUUUUGACCACCUGAUACUGUAUCUCUUUAAUCAUCAUAGUGAGUUUAUUUUAGCCAACUUACUGAUGACCUGUCCUGCCAUUGGGUCUGUCGCAUGGCCACAUAUUCCACCCUGACAGCUUUCAAUCACUUUGAAAAGUUUCCCAUGUCAAAUUUCUCUUGAAAAAAAAAAAAAAAUUCCACCUCACUGGACAUCCCGCUAUGCUCUGCCUUUUGGAAACUUAACCCACUGAGUCCUAGUUUCACAUAGGACUAGAUUCUGGAGAUAUCCAGAACAAGAAUUUCUCUACAUGGUAGUCCUCAUAAAAACUAAGAAUAAUUUUCAAGACCCCAGACAAAGUCUUACUGUCGUUGGGCCAAACAUUCCUAAUUCUUUUAACUAGUCCUUGAGAAAUUAAAUAAUAAGAAAAAAAUAUAAGAGGGACCAGUUUGUGAUUCCUUGAGCUCCAAGCAAAUGCUGGUCAAUGUUGUGGCUGCUGAGUGUACUCUUGGUUCCCCUCACUGCCCUUGUCUCACCUCUGAACAUGCCCACAUGAAGAGCGAAUACCAAGGGGUAGAGUAGGGAGCAAAGGGUCUCCUGGAGGAAGAGAGAUCUGAGCUGGAUUUUGAGGAUGUGUGUCACUUGGUUGUGUGUGAAGAAGAGAAUAUGAGUAAAGAAAGAACUAGAGAAGGUUCUGGUAGAUGGUGAAGAAGGUUCUGCACCCAAAUCCACCAAUGGUGCAGAGGGGGUUCUCCACAAGCCAACAAGCAAGGCUGUAACACCAACUGAGUAUCCUACAAUUCAACUCAAUUCUGACACUACCUUGAGUUGACAUCAGAUUCUACAGGUUAAGGGGUCAGUCCUAACAAGACUGCCCCCUCCCCAAACCUCAGACACCAAUCUCAAGUCCAGGUCAGUCACCUGUGCUUCUGACCAACAGUUAUAGAUGGGAAUUUCCCACACCUCCCUCUUCUGGUUUGAUUAAUUUGCUAGAGUGGCUCACAGAACUCAGAGAAACAUUUUACUUACUAGAUCAUAGGUUUAUUAUAAAAGGACAUAAUUCAAGAACAGCUAGAUGAAAGAGAUGCAUAGGACAACCCCUACUGUUCUUAUUUUUUUCAAGCAUUGAAUUUUAUCCAAUGUUUUUACAUUCCUUUAAAAAAACAAAAAGGAAUUACCUUUAAAGAAAUGCCUUUUCAGAGGAGUAUACAUUUAGAAGUUUAAAAUAAUUGUAGAUACAUAUAUUCCAGCUUUCACAUCACUUCUGUGUGUGCGUGUGUUGUGUGUGUAUGUGUGUGGUGUGUGUGUGUGUGUGUUGGGGAUUCCCACUGAGCAGUUUUGUGUGGGGAGUCAAGAAACAGAAAGCCAUUCCCUGCUGGAGGUGGUGGCAGACAAGUCAGAAAAUUGUGAGAACUUGGCCUUUAGCCUCCAAGUGGCAAAAAAAAAA